UCAGGAUAGCUCAGUUGGUAAAGCUUGAGACUUAAUCUCAGGGUCAUGGGUUUGAGCACCACAUUGGAUGAA
Podarcis lilfordi (Lilford's wall lizard) is the source of this 72-nucleotide non-coding RNA. Lineage: Eukaryota; Metazoa; Chordata; Lepidosauria; Squamata; Lacertidae. The record is from the annotation of a GenBank genome assembly.